Molecule: transfer RNA, 85 nt
Filed under: Methanobrevibacter sp.
Lineage: Archaea; Methanobacteriati; Methanobacteriota; Methanobacteria; Methanobacteriales; Methanobacteriaceae
Description: tRNA-Leu
Rfam family: tRNA
About the family: Transfer RNA (tRNA) molecules are approximately 80 nucleotides in length. Their secondary structure includes four short double-helical elements and three loops (D, anti-codon, and T loops).
Source: RNAcentral
GCCCGAGUGAUGGAAUUGGUAGACGUGCCUGACUCAAAAUCAGGUGGCUUCGGCCGUGCGGGUUCGAGUCCCGCCUUGGGCACCA